This is a small nuclear RNA of Tupaia belangeri (northern tree shrew), 107 nucleotides long. NCBI's taxonomy places the organism in Eukaryota, Metazoa, Chordata, Mammalia, Scandentia, Tupaiidae. The record is from Ensembl.
AUGCUCACUUUGGCAGCACAGACACUAAAACUGGAACAAUACAGAGAAGCUGAGCAUGGCCCCUGCAUGAGGAUGACACGCAAAUGCAUAAAGUGUUCCAUAUUUUU